CCCGUUAGGGGUGACCUGCGGAAGGAUCAUUACCGAGUGCGGGUCCUUUGGGCCCAACCUCCCAUCCGUGUCUAUUGUACCCUGUUGCUUCGGCGGGCCCGCCGCUUGUCGGCCGCCGGGGGGGCGCCUCUGCCCCCCGGGCCCGUGCCCGCCGGAGACCCCAACACGAACACUGUCUGAAAGCGUGCAGUCUGAGUUGAUUGAAUGCAAUCAGUUAAAACUUUCAACAAUGGAUCUCUUGGUUCCGGCAUCGAUGAAGAACGCAGCGAAAUGCGAUAACUAAUGUGAAUUGCAGAAUUCAGUGAAUCAUCGAGUCUUUGAACGCACAUUGCGCCCCCUGGUAUUCCGGGGGGCAUGCCUGUCCGAGCGUCAUUGCUGCCCUCAAGCCCGGCUUGUGUGUUGGGUCGCCGUCCCCCUCUCCGGGGGGACGGGCCCGAAAGGCAGCGGCGGCACCGCGUCCGAUCCUCGAGCGUAUGGGGCUUUGUCACAUGCUCUGUAGGAUUGGCCGGCGCCUGCCGACGUUUUCCAACCAUUCUUCCAGGUGACCUCGGAUCAGUAG
This 559-nucleotide ribosomal RNA is filed under the name Aspergillus niger. Its description in RNAcentral is "eukaryotic LSU rRNA". The stretch from base 219 to 372 matches the Rfam family "5.8S ribosomal RNA". Lineage: Eukaryota; Fungi; Ascomycota; Eurotiomycetes; Eurotiales; Aspergillaceae. The record is from RNAcentral.